This 466-nucleotide ribosomal RNA is filed under the name uncultured bacterium. RNAcentral's name for it is "partial 16S ribosomal RNA". It matches the Rfam family "Bacterial small subunit ribosomal RNA", at positions 28 to 507 of the family's 1533-position model. The record is from RNAcentral.
GACGAACGCUGGCGGCGCGCCUAACACAUGCAAGUCGAACGGGCGAGAGAGAGCUUGCUUUCUCGAGCGAGUGGCGAACGGGUGAGUAACGCGUGAGGAACCUGCCUCAAAGAGGGGGACAACAGUUGGAAACGACUGCUAAUACCGCAUAAGCCCACGGCUCGGCAUCGAGCAGGGGGAAAAGGAGCAAUCCGCUUUGAGAUGGCCUCGCGUCCGAUUAGCUAGUUGGUGAGGUAACGGCCCACCAAGGCGACGAUCGGUAGCCGGACUGAGAGGUUGAACGGCCACAUUGGGACUGAGACACGGCCCAGACUCCUACGGGAGGCAGCAGUGGGGAAUAUUGCACAAUGGGGGAAACCCUGAUGCAGCGACGCCGCGUGGAGGAAGAAGGUCUUCGGAUUGUAAACUCCUGUUGUUGGGGAAGAUAAUGACGGUACCCAACAAGGAAGUGACGGCUAACUACGUG